Molecule: non-coding RNA, 27 nt
Filed under: Homo sapiens (human)
Lineage: Eukaryota; Metazoa; Chordata; Mammalia; Primates; Hominidae
Source: RNAcentral
UGGCCUAUAUCGCUAGGAGAGAACUGC